AACGCGAAGAAUCCUUACCAGCCUCUUGACAUGUCUCGUAUGGGCCGGGGAGACCCGGUUCUUCAGUUCGGCUGGCGGGAACACAGGUGCUGCAUGGUCUGUCGUCAGCUCGUGUCGUGAGAUGUUGGGUUAAGUCCCGCAACGAGCGCAACCCUCAUCCUUAGUUGCCAUCAGGUUAUGCUGGGCACUCUGAGGAAACUGCCGGUGACAAGCCGGAGGAAGGCGGGGAUGACGUCAAGUCCUCAUGGCCCUUAUGGGCUGGGCUACACACGUGCUACAAUGGCGGUGACAGAGGGCGGCGCGGCAGCGAUGCUUAGCCAAUCUCAAAAAGCCGUCUCAGUUCGGAUUGCUCUCUGCAACUCGGGAGCAUGAAGUCGGAAUCGCUAGUAAUCGCGGAUCAGCAUGCCGCGGUGAAUACGUUCCCGGGUCUUGUACACACCG
This 441-nucleotide ribosomal RNA is filed under the name uncultured bacterium. RNAcentral's name for it is "bacterial SSU rRNA". It matches the Rfam family "Bacterial small subunit ribosomal RNA", at positions 958 to 1392 of the family's 1533-position model. The record is from RNAcentral.